GUGGCGCUUCUGUUUUUGUCUGUACUUCAGUGGUGCAGUUCAGUCUCUGCACUACCGGGGUGCAGGAAGCAGUUUUGUGACUGAUGGAAACCAAGCACUGUGUAGAGAGCAAUACUUAGGAUGUGGAUACAAGAGAGAAUGUUAUGUUACAAGUUUUAAGAAUUUCAUGACACAAUCAACUUACCAAGCUGUCCUAGAGAAACAAACUCUAGCAUAAAAUGUAAGUACUGUAGAGACAGUUCCAUUUCUGCCAAAGGUGAGCAACACUGUCAAGUUCAAAAGUGAAUUGGCAGUCACUCUGGUUUUACACUGCAUUUAAGAGAAUAAUAGUUUCAUAUGCCAG
RNAcentral lists this long non-coding RNA (343 nucleotides) under Cyanistes caeruleus (blue tit). Its description in RNAcentral is "lncRNA (ENSCCEG00000010314.1)". Lineage: Eukaryota; Metazoa; Chordata; Aves; Passeriformes; Paridae. The record is from RNAcentral.